This is a non-coding RNA of Osmia lignaria (orchard mason bee), 16281 nucleotides long. The record is from RefSeq and is a predicted model, not a curated record. Lineage: Eukaryota; Metazoa; Arthropoda; Insecta; Hymenoptera; Megachilidae.
GGCUAGGAAAGAGGAUUAUUACAUUCCUGAAUAUACAAGCAGUUUCUUUUUAAUCCUGGCACGCGUUUAAUAAGCGCGGCGCAUUGUUCGUUCUGUCAGACUGGAAGGUGGUUGUUAACGUUGCCGCUCGGAGCGACUCAUUUCUCGCUGCCCGUAAAGAUCUUAAAAACUUCUCGCGGAAAUGACCGCGAGAGAACGCUUUUCGCCAUAUUGUCGCUUCUGUCCGACCCAUGAAAACACCGUUCGUGUUAACUAUUGCAAUUAAAGUGCGGAAUAGCUGAGUACUCUCGCCGCUGAGCCUGUGCGUUGUGCGCGUUCUAAUUGUUCACUGUUUUUCAUUAAUAAUUCUAAAACAUAACUUUAUCGUGGUGAAGUAAAAAGUUGUUUAAAAUCAUUCCAAUUAUCAUCCCCACAACGGACGUCAACUCAUAGCCGAACAUCCCGUACGCUUUGUAUACAACGAACAUAGAUAAUUCCCGUUUGACGAUCUAAAGGAACAAACGUCUACAGAGUGGAGAAUAGCAGAGAAAAGAGUGUUGAGUUCGUCGAGGAUCAAUCGUUGUUUGAUCUCAGGUGUAUUGCAGUGGCAGUAGUACAAGUCAACGAUCGGUGAGUCGCAUGCUUUAUGGUUCCUCCGAUCCUCAUUGUGUCGGUUCGAAACGACACGGGGACUGGUUGUAUUUUUUAUUAUCUUUACAAACGAGUAUAGUGACUAUGAAUAUUAUUACGUAUUAUAUAAAUAUGCCAUUCUAACGUCACUAUGCCCGUUAUUUAUACAUAUAUGCUGUUUAUUUCUAUAGAAAAUUGUACGAAAAUCUCGAUAUCGUAUUAUCGUAUUAUUUUCGUGUUACGAUUAUUCUGCUCGCUGGUGCACGAUUAUGGCGGUACACACGAAUAAGUUUGAAUACGUUCGAAUACUUUCGAACAAUUUUCCUGUGAUUAUUUACAGAUGCAACCUUUGUUCUAUAUUCUAUAUACUAUUCGAUAUAGUAUACCCGUGGAAAUGAUAAAACACUCUGCUUUCAUCGAAACGGAUAUAAUUUAUUCCGCACGAACGAUUUGUGUAGGCAGGAAUAAACCGAAAAUUGAAAAAUAUUGGAUAAUUUACAAACGAAUCGCGGCGCACUUGGUCAGCUACUAUGUUUCAAUCGACAGUGUUUUUUGUUUCGUUUAUCCAACCCUCUGCUCGUUUUUCUAUUUUUUCUCAUUUCGGUCUUCACGUUUGCAUUGAAAUCGAAAUGCUGGCUAUAAAUUAGCGACAUUGGCAUCGCGAUGUCUCGUUCAUGAAUUAUUUGCCGUUUUAAUUGUAGUACGUGCCGUUCAAUUGGUAAUGAAUGUUUCCUUUUUAUCGAAUUCGAAACAAGUCCGUUUCCUUCGCUUUUGUCCAUUCGUUUAUUCCCAUCUUUUAUAAUAAGAUAUAUGAUAAUCACGUUUGCUUCGUAACUGUAAAUUAAUUAAUUUUUAUUUUCACUUCUUCAUCAUAGCAAAAGGUCCAUCGAGUUGGACGGUGGAUCGUUAAACAAACAUUCGACUGUUUUUGUAGCGAAAACAGAGGAACUGAAGGAUUUCUGAUCUCACAAAUUCGAGAUUCCUAGUCGAGCUUCCAAUUACUUUGUUUCGACGUUCAUCUACAGCGAUUCGAGCGUAUCGUUCGUCACCCUCGAACGAACACUUUGUCCCUCGACUAAGCUAUGUGGUUUCAUAACUUUCAUAAUAAAUCCUGCAGCGACACAGUUCACCGAUUUAUUAAUUCAUCUUUUUCUAAGUUCGAUUUCAUCUAUGAUUCCGUUCCGUUCCGUUACCCAGUGAUUUAUCUCACCCUUUGUGAAAAUUUUAGAAAGCUCUAUUGCAUUGAAUUUCAUAUUAAUCUGCUUAAUAACGUCGCGUUUAUUUUGCUUAUAAAAUCUAGCCUCACACGAGAAAUACGGUGUAAGUGAAUGAAAGGUUUAUCGGUAACUCUUGUUCUCGUUUCAUUGAUGAAAUUUGUAAAGGUUAAUUUUCCCGAUAUAGAUUUCCUUUCGAAAUUGAAUGGAACGAGGUCGAAUUGAAAAAAAUAGUUAAAUUUAACCGAAAUCGUAAUACAAUUAGAUUUUGAUCGUCAAUCAAGAAGAAGGAUACGUUUCUCUGGAAUCGAGUGAAACGUGGUUUUAAACUGCUUUCGAUCGAUCGAAAGUGCGAUUCGAGGUACAGAAGGGAAAGAAACUGAGAACAUCGAAAGGAAGUUUCCAAGUUUGCGAAUUGCAUCGCUUCCAUUUCCUGCCGGCAUUAGCAGUUGAUUAAUUAAUAAUGAGAACGUCGCGUCGCGCUAUGAAACUUUUCCAACAUCUUUCCUUGUCCACUGAUGCAUCUGCUAUAUAGACGUUACGACCCCAGCUAUGGUAACAGUUUGAAACGAAUAAAAGAAGAAAAAAAAAAAUGAUUAGAUUUUUUACCGAUUACCUAAUUCACUUAUUAAUCCAAAAUUAGAUUAACUAAAUGAAAUAGGUUGAUAUGUUCCCAAGUAUUAAUAAUCUGUAUUGAGUUUGAAUGGUCAAUUUUGUGAAGGAAAGUAGUCAAGUGAAACAUGUGAAUAUUAAAACAGACACGUGUAAUGCAACUUGCCAAACGAUUGUGCACAUAAAAAUAUUAACGUUUCGACAAUCUAGCUUUUAAAUAUCUGUAAUGGACAAAUUAUGGUUUAAUGUAAACUGACUGUACGGAUAAUUACGUCUUUUUAGUGUAAUUUCACGGGAUUGAAAAUUUACUGCCAGUGAAACUCGAUCUGUUUGCCUCGUUAAAUACGAACGGUUCGUUGCUUCCUCUUGUUCGAUGGUUGCUUGAUGAAAAACUCAAUGUACACAUUGUGAAUAUUGAUUUACUUUUCAUCGUAUUGAAAUUCACUUCGUGAAUUUUCUAUCUAUCUGUUUACAGUUUUCGGAGUGGAAAGAAUCGUGUCUAACGAGGCCUCUUUGUAAGGGGAAUAAUUAUAAGAAAUGAAUUCGUUGACCGGCACAGUAGAAAGAGCCACGAUUAAUGGGAUAGUAGGAUUAGUCAAGGAUAUUAAGAGUUAGAAAAUUAUUUUUCAUCUAACGGUGAAAUUUGAUACAAUUCCGAAUGGGCUACGUAUUAAUUGGGUGGUGGAUAAUUUUAACAUACCUACCUAUUGAAAAUAGAAAAAGAAGGAAGAAAAGAAUAAUGGCAGUGACUCGUGACAGAUAAGCGCAUAGACUUUCCUAAAGUGUGUUUAAGUUUAGUUAGUCGAUUCGUUCUGUAAGUAUUUAGAUGAAAACGGGCAGAAAUCCUUCUCGUAGGCAGGUCGGCAGAAAGUUUUACCCCUUAAUCGUGCCGUAUCUCGGGAAAGUUGCUUGAAGCGGGCAACAAAUCGGCUUUAAAGGUGUAUGCUAUUAUAUAAAAGAGAUUUCGUGCUGUAUCCUCGUUGCGUAUACUUUCAUAUACUUGCGAGAGUGGCCCGAGACUGCAUUAAACUUGGCGAAUUCAUGCCUAAGGGUGUACAUCCUUUGAUCCUGCUUUAUACACGAUGUAUCUAGGUCUAAAGCGGAGAUUUUAAUUUAAUCUCCGAGCGUGCUCGCUUAUACGUACGGGCGCGAAAGAACGCGUCCUAUGCGAGAAAUUAGUUUCCUAUUUACAUGGAAAUUUUGAUCAACCGGAGUCACUCGGAACAGAGCCGAACAAAGCCGAAGAAAAACGAGAAUUUUACUUCUCAUUUGGUUAAAUUCAACAAUCAUUGAACUUACGAUUAAAGUGAAGAGAAAUAAGGGAGAAAAAACUUAAUUACUGCUCGUUGAUUGAAAUACUUUGAAGAAAAUUAAUUGCUUUAAGCUUGCAUCGAAUUGCAUUCGAUCCUUACAUUGGAUGAAAAACUUAGCAGUGUAGUUUCCGAGAGAUUUUAAUAAAAAUAAGUUUGCGAUUCGGUGUGUCGCGUCGCUGUUAUUCUGAUAGGAUCAACGUAGAAGAAUGAAAGAGAAUCGGUCGUUGAACGAACGUGUUUGCGGAAUCAAUUUUAGAGAGAAUCGCGAUCGUUGGGCGCGAGUUAACGAGCCGUGUCUCAUUUGUUGCAUUACCAGGACAACGAACGCGUAAUAUAUCGUUUAAUGGCCGAUCGAUUAAACGCUGUACCAAGCGCGUCCCAUACUCGUUAUUUAAACGAAAUUCGUGUUAUAAUACCUACCUCUUUCCGUACGAUCUCGCAACGUUGCGUUCCAAAGCAAUCGGACGAUUCGAUCGGAACUAUCGGAACUAUCGGUCGAAUGGGGAAACACGUUAUCGAAAACUACGGUGAAUCUGUGUAGCUGAGGUAGUUGGAACACGAUAUUGCAUUUUAACGAACAGAAAAUUGCUCCUUCUCGUCGUCGUUUUCGUUGUCAUCGUCCUACAGAGAAGAGAGGGUUCAGGUUUAAAAGAGAAAUCGUAUAAGCUGGGUUGGCACGUUGCAAUCCGGUCGUUGUACCAGCAUCUACAAAGAAACGAGAAAGGUGUAAAUGGUGGCGAAGGAGAUUGCCCGACUUUCAAGUAACCGAAGGAAAAAGAUACGAGAGUGGAAAGAGUCAGAUGCGUCGUCGUAAAUCGUACAGCUUUAUGGACGAUAUUAAACACGUUAAGUACUCGUGUAACUUUCAGGUAAUUACCAGAUUUCUUGCCUCAAUUUAUUACUUUCUUAUCGUUUUCAUUAUGCGCCCAUUCUCACUUGACUGACUCGUAUGUCUGAUAGGAACGUAGAUAUAUUUACAUACUUUGGUACAUAGAAAUAGGCUGUUUCUCUAAAGUCUAAAGGAACAACCGUGCGAACCAUUUGUAAUCGCACAAAUUUACACGGUUACAUACACAGAUGUGGGGUAGUUUCGUCGUGCCUAUGAAGAGCGCAUGCUUGUUACCCCUUCCAAGUGUCGGAUGAGCUUGAGAUCUGCCGAUCGAUAGAUCGUGAGCACUCUGAUCUCUCCGGGUGUCUAGACCAUACGUGUUUUGAAAGAGGGAUUCCGCAUAGGGAAACACGGGGCAUAGCUCGAGUCAAAGUGACAUUCGACCGCAUAGCAAGACGGCUAGUGCUCGCAGUUAUUGUUCGCGUUUCAAACUGACGAGUCGGCGAUCGAAACUGUAUCACGGCACUGCUGCGUCUCGAAAUCACGAUUUCGAAAUCGGAAGUUUAACACCUGAGGGAUCAGAGUCAAGUAGGUAAACUCUCCAAGUUUUUGUGCAUUCGAAGAUCCGAGAAACGAGAUCCACUUAAUUCGAAGAGUAGCUCUCCCAUCUCGUGUAUUUAACAAGUGUCAUACGAGCUUAAUUCUCAAGGGUCCAUUAUUCACUCACUGCCGAACUCGGACAACUGUAGGCUGUAAUUUGGAAAUUGGUGAAUUCGCGUUAAAGAAAUAAUUUUCCUUUCCAAAACACCACCUUUAAUCUUCUGUGUCGUGGAGUCGAUUCAACGCGUGCCUUCCUUCUCCUCCUGUAAGUAGCUUUCAAACCUAUAGACCAAAUUUCGAGCAUUUCCACCUUACACUCGUUACGAGCAUAAUUUAACGGUCGUACGUCGUUAUUCCGAAAAGUGUCGCAGUAGCUAGAGCCGAGCCACAACAUCGGCAAGAACUAGAGGAAUUUCUUCUAUCAAUAAACAUCUGCGUGUUGUCAUAUUUCGAAUCGCUCCAUGAUCUGUUUUCGUUGCGUUCGCGUGUGUCCUUAGCUCACCCGAGUACAACUGUCGUUUGCGAGUAAUUCAACGUCUCUCGUUGAAACAUUUAAGAAGUAUUGGUAAACAGGUGUCGUAAAUCGUAGCAAGGAUCUAGUGUAAUCGUAGGAUCGUUCAAAGACAAUAACGAGAAAGAACGAACCAAGAAGGCGUAUCGUAAUCCGGUCGUUGCAGCACGUUUCCAAAUAAACGAAGAAGGUGUAAGUGGUAGCGAAGGAGAUUGCGUGAGUUUCGAGGAACAGUAGGAAAAAGAUAUGAAAGUGGAAAAAGUCAGUUCGCAGUCAUAAAUCGUGCAGCUUGCUGCACCACCGUGGAGAUAGGGUGGACCGUAUCCGGAAACGUGAAUCCUCUAUCCAGCGACAUUUUAAGAACUUAAUCAUUCCAUCCCCUUCUUCUCCUUCUCCUUCUCCUCCUUCUCAUCCACCCCUUCUUCUUCUUCUUCUUCUUCGUCGUCGUUAGAAAUGGUUCUUUCAUUAACGCGUAUCGUUUCGCGCAAAUAUCCAGUAUUGUCGAGAGUUGGUCGUCGGAACGAAAAGUUGCGAGACUCGAGGCAAACGACAUAGAAGUUCUUUCGAUAUUGCGAGCAAAGUAAAACUUUUUCUUCAAUCGAACUCCAAGUUAUUCUAAUCAUCAUCGAUACCUCGUGUUCCGGUGCGUAACUUUGGCAGAGCGCUUUGCAAGUCGAGUAUCAGGAAAGUUGAAAAGUCGAAUUGUUCCGGUACCGUAUACGACUUGCAGCCGUGGAAUCGCAUUUACAUGUCAACUUUUCGAUUUUCUCGACGUUUGUAUUUCGGUUAUUUCACUUAUUUCGAUAUUGCUUUUUUAAACUCUCGUUCUCUGCCAAAAACGCACUGCUACCGUUACAGAGCUUUAUUUUACAGAGAAUCAAUUUUGAAUACAUAUUCGUUGAAUAGGCAAGCGUGUAUCGUUCGAACGAAUCACUUUACUUUUUCGGCUAAAUGUUUCUCGAGGAACCUUUCGUCGAAGAGGGUAUUUUAAAAUUAAUUUUAUUAUUAGUCGCAGGAUUAAAUUUUUUUUUGCAACGAUAUAACGAGAUGUUAAUUACUUACCAGUCUUUCAUUACUCCUUCUCACGAUAAUUUUGUAAUUAGACACUAUGUUCUAGUUUCAAAGACAUCCAUCAUUUUAGUAAUCAAACAGGUGUUCGUAGAAAGUUUUCUGUUAUCGUAUCAUCGAUACGCCAUCGCUCAUUUUAUAGAUAUAAUCCAAACGAGUGGAUAAAGUGUACGCAAUACAAUGUCAGGAUUCAUUUUGAUAGCCGUUCGUAAUUACAGAAUGAUGUAUUUAUUUAUUUUUUUUAUUUUUCUUCCAUUUAGGGUUUUUUGUCACAUAAGGUUAUUAGCGAUAUCAAGGAGUAGGUAAAGCUUACAUUAUCUGUUCUAUCAGUUUGGUAUCUUUUACAAAUUUAAGUAAGUCCUGAAUUUUACUGUUUUUUAAAUUGUCCUUGAGUGAAGAUUCUAGUUUAUGUUUGUUGCGGAGGAAAUCAUUUAGUACAGUGGAGGAUUAAAUGAUCUAUUUGUUUCAUUGAAUUUCGUAUGAAAAUCGUAUGAAUGUACUUGAAAGGAGAGAAUCGAUUCGAUCGAAAUUAGACGUGGAUAUUGAAAGUUGCACUGAACGUCGAACAUCGUUUCAAAUUCCCCUACUAUACUGCGACACGUGAUUGCAUAAACAUUUCGUUAACGUCACUACUCGAAUUUCAAUUAUCUCAUGGAGGUAGCCUCAGUCGCGGCACUCUCUCGCAAUUACCCUGUUUAGCGAACAGGACGUGUGUGCCUGUUCGCAAUAAAUCGAUAACCGUUUCAAUAACGAUUGACAACGUGCUGGUGGUCGCGUGACACGCAUUGGGCCCGAUUUAAAUGACAAAGGGGAUUAAUCGUUUCGUUCCUCGGAAUUUUUUAUCACUUCAACCCAACUCUCUGUCAAUAGGUACACACCGAUAGAUCGUUCAUUCCGCUUCUCGACUAUUUACCUUUCUAUUUUUAUUCCUUGACUCACUUUCUCUGAUUUCGACUCUCCUUUUUCUAAGCGAUCCUUGGAAAGUAUUUUUAUUUACUUUUGCCGUUCAAUGAAUUUCCAACCGUCUCCUUCUAUCUAUUACCUGCCUGCAUUACGGAAAUUUUGAAAUUCGAAUCUCAUGAAAUUCGACCGAAAACACUGAGGAAAUUCCCGUUACACUUACUAUAUCGAGAUUUUAUCGUGUCAUCGUCGAUUCAAACGUUUCUGAACGGUUAACCAACGGAACACGCAAGAUAUCGAUAACGUAAAGAUGGACAGAGUCGGUGGUAUCCAUAAUAUGUAGCGGCUUUUCGACCACUUCCAGUUGGUCACUGCCGGCCGUCUUGAGGUUCACUUCGGAAUGGCCCAUAGGAGGCAGACAUUCCUGAGGGAACCGCGAACCUCUAGGAGGAAGUGCUGUGGCGAACCGCGAGUCCGAUCCUGGGAUACAGUUCAAACCGAACGAGCUACUCUCGUUCUACCGAGGGAACAGUUUCCCACUUAGUACUACCUUGAUACCUGGAAACUAACCUGGCAUUGUUCAUCGAAGAACAUCCUAUUGGAAUUGACGUACUACGUUCAACUAUUCGCUCUAUUAAAUGUUCCCUCUUAAAGUUAACGUUGACGAACUUGCGAAUUCCGAAACUUUUUCUUAGUACGACUAAUUAUAAUAUUACGUUAUAAUAGAAACGAUUCAAGAGUUUGUAAGAAAGUUGGCCUAUCUUCAGAUUCUUUUAAUACGUUAAUUUCAAACGAAACAUUAAUACAAUACAGAAUUGAUUUUGUCAUUCAAGUCACGUGGUGAUUAAUUAAAAUUACGAACAUUUUAUAAUACUUUUCUACAGUUGGUUAAAUUGAACGAAUCGAAUGAAAUAGAGACUGUUCCUUAGCAGUACAUUUUCAAAAUGAAAUACUGAGACAGCGGGACGGGACCGAACUAUCUGCAACAUCCACUGUAAAUAUCUUCGACAUUUUCAGGGAAUGAAUUAUAGGAAAUGCCCUCUCGACUGGUCCCGGCUAGUCUGUUUUGCUAUCCUUGGACUGGAGAACGUUUUUUAAACGAGGAAAUGUUACAUGGCGUGUGAAUAAAUCGAUUUUCUGCUUCCAUUCCCUAUCGGUGGAAGUCAGGCCAACUUGCGAGAACGUUCUUACGAUAGUAGAUCUAAGCGUAUUAAAAAAUGAAAAUCAAUUUUUUACCGAGAGUUAUUAAUCGACAAUUUAUUCGCGAUCAAUUGACGUACGCGUAUGGCUUUUAUUUGACUUUGCUUGCAGCGUAUCAAUUUGGUCGAUAUUGACCAGAGAUACCAAAUAUUUAACGCUUUAAUUGCUUUUCGUCGAGCGAUCCAUUUUUCGUUCACUUUCCUUUCUGUUCCAUAUUUGGACCUACGAAAUUGAAUUUCAUUUCUACUGCCAUUGUUUCUUUGUAACACUUCGAAACGAGGGUGAUAGUACGUACAGUCACUUCACUACACGUAGAUGCAAUUCGAGGAGGGAUGGGAAUAGGAGGAAAAAGGAUGGAUAUGCGUGCACAGGAACAUAGCUAAGCGGGUAGAAGUGGUCGUUGCAUCCAACGGGAUUCACCGUGUUAUUGAAAUUGAAAUUUACGACUUUAAUAGAGACUAAGCUUCCGCGAUCAUAAUUCAAGAAAGGUUGCGUGUCCGGCAGGCGUAACUGACAGGAGUCUUCCUCUUUUAACCCCCUUUCGAGCUGGCAACCCUUUUCGACGCGCUGUUCCAUGCGCGCUCGGGUCCUCUGCUUCCGUUUCCUUUGCCCACUUCACUUCUACCCUUUAUAACAGUCUUCUACCUACGUUCCGCUUCUCGAUUCGGCCAGAUAUCCCGUCGAGUAGCUGAAGCCUCGGAUGAUUUAAUACACCCUCUAACCCCUUGACGUUCUACGAAAAAAUAUGUCCGUUCCGUUCUGUAAACGACUGCGCGAAAGUUUGCCCAGCUACGAAAGACGUAUUGUGAGUAGAACGAAAGUGGAGCGAGGAAUUCAUUGGCUUCUAUUGGACAGAAUUUCGAACGACGGUUUAUUUGAUAGCAAAUGAAUUAGUUAUUUACGACUUCUCAUUUCAUCUAAUCGGUAGCUACUUCUCGAUACGACAAGAUUCCAGCUAAAUGUUUAGGCCUUCCAUAGACUUUGACAUACGUUAUUACCAUCACUGCCAGGAACCGCCUCCGCGAUUUUCACUUUAAUUUAUCUAAUUCAUCAUAUCUUAGUAAAUUAAUUUGUAUAACUUUCCGAGGGGUCCACCCCAAAAUCUCGACAGCCCAAAAACCCUAACCCUAACCCUAACCCUAACCUAACCUAACCAAGAACACGGAAUUUUGGUAGUCGAAAUUUUGGCUAUCGGGAUUGUGGGUGUCGGGAUUUUGGGUGCCACCGCUUUCCGAGAAACCUUAAGUCACUUGGUCCAAUUUUAAACGAAGUAUUCAAUUUCAAACGGUAUAAUAAUAAUAAUAAUAAUAAUUUUUUUAGAAUGAAAUAGAAGGAAUGAAAAAUAGUUUAUUGUUUUAGAGGGAUGUUCGAUUUGCUUAAGUCAAAGUAAAAGAUUUCCAAAAGGUGGACGUGGUAGUAAUUUAAAGAUAAGUGAAAGUAAAUCUCUCGAGAAGAUAAACGAGCAGGAGUAGAAAGAAAAAGUGUACCGCUGGCAUUCAGAGGACAGGUAAACGGUUUCUAAUAACGCAUGGCUCCAUGGCUUGGCCAGUUUCCUCCAACAAGGUCUCCACACACCAAGAGUGACUUCCUCGACACUAUCGGCUUUAUUUACCUUUAUCGUCUCCCUACUCUCUCCACUUUGUGCUCACUUACUCUCUUCCAUUUACUCUUCCACCUACUUAUUUCCUCGUUUUUUCCUCGUCGAUUUUUGUCCUCUUUGAGAUCAAGACUCUUACGCGGCCGGCCUGUGUCACAAAGAGGAGAACCAAUGGUAGCGAAGCUCUUGAAAGAUCGCGAAGGGUUGAAACUUUUACCUGAGCAGCAGGUAAAUGCGCUGGUAAAAAUAUCAAAUUAUUCCGUGAAAUUAAUUUAUUCACGAUCGCACGAUCAAAUAUCCGCGAGGAGUAUGAGAGGGGAAAAGAGAAUUUCGAAAUUCGCUUCACUCGGUGGUAAUCGAUUUACAACGUAAUUGACUGUACGUUUCGAUCGGUUUGAAAAUCGUUGGUUCCCAAUCCUCCAGAUGAGCCCGGUAAAAACCGUUGGUGAGCAUUUUUUUGUUAUCCAGAAAAUCCCCUGUACGCUGGUAGAUUGGCGCAAUUUUGAGAAGCCCCCGGUAUCGAAACGAGGUCGUUUUCCAUAAUCGUUAGGACAAACGGUGCCGUUGAUAACGAGUACCAUAAAUCCACAAACGGUCGUCGAAAUCGGCUCGUUUCCAGUUUGCAACCGAUAUUUCACAGUAGGUAUAAUUUCAUUGUUCCACGCGGGCUCUCGGUAUGACGGAUGAGCAUGUGACAUUCGAUAACGAUAACCGAUGCUGCUUGUCCAACUGGCUGGAUUUAGAGCCGUCUAGACCGUGGCAAGUAAAUUGUUUCAAUUCUGUUUUACAUCAUCCGCGUAUAAUCGCUUUCAUUUUACUUCCUUCGAUUAUUCUCUAUCGUCGCUUACUAAAUAGGUUACAGCGUUCUACCUUCUCCUAGUCGAAUGAUCGAAUUGUGACCUUAUCACGAACAGAGGCAUAGUACAAUUGUUUAAUACUUUAAUUUAUAAAUGUUACUCUAUAAAUACAAAAAUUUAAGUUUUCAGUUGGAUUUAAAUUAUAAAUCAUCUUCAACUUUCCUAUCUCGAACGUUCUCAUUUUUGUAUCCGUAUAAUCUUGCAAACGCAUAGAUCUUAUAGGUCCUUAUUGGCAUACAGACAGAAUCUGUUCCGUUGUAGGUUACGUUUUAUCGUUCUACCAAAUCCAGUGGAACAGCAAUAGGUGUUAUCGAACGGAAACGAUGAUCGAGGAUCGAGAAUGGAGAAGAAAUAUUGUCUCACAAUCGGUAGCACGAAGCGGCCGAGCAAUUAAUUAUUCGAAUUGAGAUUAAUUCACGGUAUCGUUCCAACAAACGAGUAGUUUAACCACGAACGAGCACGAGGAGACGGUUUGCACAGUUUCAAUUCAUUGGCCGAUGUAACGAGCACGGGAACGAGCAGAUUCACCUUCGUAAAUUAAUUAGCAGUUGUAAUUCACUUCCGGCGGGUAAUAACGGGUCGCGGGAAGCAGUUGGCUGGGCUUGGUGGCGAACGCUAAAUGACAAUUUACCCAAAAGCAAAUUCGCCGCUUAUUGUGGAAAGCCGGUACCGGGAUGCUCGUGCCUGAAAACAGCCUCCUGCUAGCUCCUUGUUCGUUCGAGACUUUUAAUUAUCCUCCGGUAAAUUUCGCUUUCUCCGCUUUCUUCUCGCGCAAUCUGCCGCCAACCCCCGACCGAAGAAUUAAUGGUUCGCGAACUCGGGCUCAUCUCGGUCGUCUCCUGCGCCACGUUGCCGUUUUUAAAUUAUUAUUAAAAAGAAACGAGAAAUUUCUUUCUUCCUCCUUUCAAACGUUCGUUCGUUCGUUAACGAGUUCCCAUGGAGAAGACGAAGGAUAUCCGGGACAAACGAGUAGAACGGAAAACAAAGUUCCGAUUUCGUUGCUUGAAACGAGCAGCGAAAAAUGCCAUGACGUUUUUGAUUCAUCACCCGUCUCGUUCGCAAUUUAUUCGUUCAAAGAUAACGUCACAGGGAAUAAAUCAUUUGGAAGAAUUACUCGAUUUGAUCGUUAUGCUCUAGCCAUCGUAUACUCGGGUAAAAAGCUUCGAGUCCUUAUUAACCUAUGCCUCAGCUUUUUCUCUGUUUAAGCGGGACUUUUUAAAUUAAUCAACGACGAUACGCUCGUAAUUUGAAAUGAAAUAUCGUUAUACGUAUCGUAACCUUCCUGCAAGAACGAGAAAUGUUACUAAAAACGUUAAUAAAGCGCACGAUUCGAAUAUACCGUGUGCGAGGAGCAGCCAAUAUUCGUUCGCAAAAUUUCAUUUCAUUUUCAACGCUUCUCUUGUAUUCUCCAUAUUUAUUGCACACCGUCCCAUUCGACUAUUAUUCAUUUUCAAAUUUCACCAAUUUUCUACGCGAAAAAAUACCUCUUCCAUCACAUUUUUAAGCGUUCCUCUGCUGUAGAGUAAUAAAUUUAUAAGCACAAAUAUCUUCUAGCCCCCGAAUAUACGUGUGUGAUACAUAUAUCCUUAGAAAAAUAUAUUCGAUACGCAGUUCCAUUAUAUCGGCUUAAAAAAGAUUUCGAAGCGCAGAAGCUUUUGAUCCGACAUUUUUCUCCGCUGGGUGACGAUUUUCCCAGCUUUCCAUCUCGCGUGUGAAUUAAAUAUGUGUAGAAGCGCGCUAGUUUGUUGAAUCAAUUCGGUCCACGUACACAGAGGAGCUGUUCUCGAUAUUCGUUCCAUCGAUCGAAGUCCUGCGUCAAUGGUCAUUGUAUUCGACUAGUCUAUUGGAACGGUGCUGCGCGCCAACAAGAUUGCCAACCGAUAUAUACAUAUAUAUUCGCGCGAUUUUUUCCGAGAGGGAAGAAGCGUAAAUAACGCCGGUAUCUCGAUGACUGCAAGUGAAAAUGCUCUUGGAUGAACUCUGUGUCGCCGAGUUCUUUUUAUCCUCUUUGCCUGGAGUAACAGGAAGAAGGCCGGCGACAAGAAAUACGAGGACACUUUGUACUCUUGAUCGAGAUAUAAGCAAUAAGUGGAAGAUAACGAGAGAAGAGGGUAAGGUGAAAGUAUAAGAAAAAGGAGAGGUGCAAGAACCACCUCGAGGAUCACUCUUGAUUCGUUGUAAUGGAUGUUCGGUAGACUCGAAUAUCGGGAACCAUACGGUAUUCCAUCUUCGGUAAAUUUUCAAGAGAAACAUUGCGGAAUGUUUCGAUGAAGAAAAUUGAAAGAAACGAAAGAAAUUGUUAGAAGCACCAGGUAGACAAGCUUCCUAAAUUGAUUCAGAGCGAUUACUCGUUGGUCUGAAGUAGAAAUAUGGCGGCGAAAAGCGAAGCGUCGGGAGGGGUGAAAGUUUAAAGCGCGACUGGUGGGUAAUUUUCGCUUCAUUAAAGGCAAUUUAACGGAGUACACUCUGGGAGAAGCGCGAGGAACGAGUAAGCUCGAGUGGAGAUCUCGGAUAUCUCGUUAGGUAGCUACGUGUCUGGGAACAUCGAGCUUUGCUGACGCGAUUACAUGAUACGUCGACACCGAUAGGUCGAGGAAGCGGUGACAGACGUCGAGCCGGGUGAAACGCUUUUGUCAUGGCUAGAUAAGCGAUCGCGUCGAAAUUUCCGCGUGAAACGCGGCUACAACGCCUGUGAUAAUGAUGGUAACCGCACCGCCAAAAUUAUACCCACCAUGAUAAUCGCAUUAACCUUGCCCCGUUGUUGACCCGCAGGUCUCGUUACCUGGACGACCUCUUGUUUCGAAAAUCGUCUCAUUUUUUUUAUCGAUAAUUGGCCAAUUCCGAUGGAUAUUUCGAAAUCGAAAUGAAAAUACUUUUGAAAUUGAUAAAACAGGGAAUUGAACAUUUUUCUUAGUACUUGAGAUUAGUAUAAACUGAAAAUUUUUCGAAGAAUCGAAAGAUCGCAUCGAUUGUAUUUUAAUUCGAGCUACUUUUUAACUGGGAUACGAUAUAGCAGGUUCGCUUAUUAUUUUUCAAUUUCCUUCUUCGUUUGAAGUAUUGCAACGAUAUUGAAUAUUUCCAGGCCAUCAUGAUAGCAUUAACCAUGCACGUUCGCUCCGACUGCGAAUUUUUUAAUAUCGUUAAUAUUUAAAUGUCCCGUAUCGAAUAUGCAUGGAAGUAAAUAUCGAGUGUGUGUCCGCGAUUCCAUUACCGCGUUUGCCCCCAAUUCACGGGUUCGUUAUUUCAUUCGUUAUUUCAUUCGUUAAUUUUUAAGCUCACAGCUCGUUCGAAUUCCUGCUUGCCACGGUUCGUGAAAUUGUUCCCCCCCCCCCCUUUGGGAAAUUCGCUAAACCAUCUUUCAUCGACUGAAUGGCUAGCCGUGAAAUAGUUUUCGCGAAUGGAACGAAAAGUGGUAUUUAUUGUGAACUUUAAUAACGAUGACAAUUAAUAUACGUACAACUACUGUAAGUUUGUAGGAAUGUUUGAGAAGAAUUGUUUCGCGAUCGAACAACAGCUGUUAAGUAAAUCGAUCGAUCGUUUCUAGCGUUUAACGGUAAAUCAGAACUAACGAAGAAUUCAAGUUUCAUUUGGGAAUAAUUGGUCGGGCGACGGGCGGAAGAUCGACGGAAGCAUUGCUGGAAAUUUCGAAAUACUCGUAGACGGAAGAGGUAGAGUGUGCAGGCGCGAUUAAUUAAUUGCACAGUGUGCAUCGAGCGAGUCGUGUUUGACGUCUCUUCGCUCGUACCGCGUGUACAGCUCGUGCAAAACAUCCGCGUGCUUGUGCCAGAUUAGAUGAAGUAAAUUCAGUGGUUUUUUUUUCCUCUUGCUCUCUAACGUUAUAUACGUAUAUAUAUAUCUCCCUCUUUCUCUGGCUCUCGGUUGGCAUGUCGAGUAUCAACAUUUCCCGUCUCCCGUACUCGACGCAAACCACCCUUGUAACGCGGAGUUCUUUAACGAACGCCAUCUAAAUUUAGCCGCGAGGUAAUCGUGAUGUAACCCGAAGAUUAUUUUACAUUUCACCAGCGAGUGGAAUUUUUAUCACGCGUGCACACUUGUUGGACAAGUAGAGGGAAUUUCAGAGAUUGUCUGCACGUUUAAGCGGAGUACACGUAUCCAUACGUAUCCUAGAAUAAUGUUGGUCAAUUGAUUUCAAUUUUUCUCUACACGUUUCUUGUACAGUCUCAUUUUCCAUUAACCUCAGUUUUAACGAUAUUUCAUUUCCAAGAAGAAUUCGAUUCAAACAAUUUUUCUUCGGUCUUUCAUUGAAAGCGUUAAAUUAUUCCUAUGAUACACAAGCGACAACGUGUCAGGGUUAUACAAAAAAAAAGGAACAAACGAUCGCUUAGAAUAACAAAUUGCGAAGAUUUAGAGCGGUCGAGACAUUCGUGUCGAGAAUUCAAAAAUAAAGCCGUACAUCGUUUGAGUUGGUCGCAGACCCUCGACAAGCUACCGGAUUACCAUAAUUCCAAAGCUUUUCUUCUUAUCCGCCACUUUCAAAGCGACAGUCGCAGAAACUUUGAGAGGAUGCAAAGGCCAGCCGUGAAGGGGUGGCAAGUAGGGAGGGUAAAGAAACGAAGGAGAAUAAUAUUCGAGACUUUAGCUCAUCCAAGUAAUCCAUUUCUUCCUCGUUAUAUUACUCCAUGUUCUCGACGUAAUUUCACAAGAUACCCUGUAUAGAAGCACGCUCGGAAAUUCUUGAUGCACGAAAAUUACGCGAUCUUACGGCUUGUCUCGUUCCCCUCGUUCUCUAUUUCGGCAGUUUUCCCUAAUUCGCAAAAAAACGUCACGUUGAUCGGAGAAGCGAUUGAAGAAAGCUGCUAGACGUUGGAAAAUGCAUCCCGGUGGCGUUGAAACGCGGGCAAAACCACGUGUGCACUCUUCAUCUUACUCGUUGGUAAAAGAAACGACGAAGGCGGGGACGCGUUCGUCGAUCGAAGGCUCGUUAACCGGUACGAAGUGUAAGUAAAAAAA